AGCACAGAACUUGUCACUGUGGCUCACGGCCAACCACAGGCCCAGCCCACCCUCCAGGCCCUCUCGGCCAGCUAUAUUUUAUUUUCUUCUUUGGUACAGGAAACCUAGGCCUGGACCUCUGCCUCCACAGUCUGGUCGCAGCGCUCACCCUGGGUGUGUGUACCCUGUUUACUCCCAACUUCUUCACGUUCUGCUAUCCCGGUUUGGUGACAUUAGCCCAACUCAGUCUAAAUGCACGCCAGUUCUCUUUGGUUUGAGUAGGCCUGAAAUCAGUUUUGCACCAUGUUUACAACACAGGAAGGUUCAGUUUAAAAGAAGGGCUUUUCAGAUUCCUUGCCAAACCUGUAACAUCUGUCAACACUGAGUGAGGACAAAAUCCUGCUUCACCUUGGCCGGUAUAGAUGUCAGCCCAAAGUUGGCACAGUUUCUCUGGUGUCCUGCAACAGCCAUGGCUUAUACACUGCCCCGGGGCACAUGGCAGCAGGUCCUUGAGCUGAAGGCUGGUCUCCAAAACUCUAGGGAUAUAGUGACCACCUCGCCUCUCCCAUUAGGCCUCUCCUCUCUGCAACCAUUGUUGCCCUGGGGCUGUGGUGAACUUGAAUGGUCCCUUAAUUAGGUGAAGUCCAGCCAAGCUCUGCUAACUCUGCACUCUGAAAGUCUCAGCGAUCUUACUGAAUUCAGUCACAACUGGCCAGGACUGGUCACUCACUGGGCAGCCAGCUGCCUCCCUGAGGCACCAACAGCAGCAGAGGAAACCUAUGGAGGUCACACCUCUCGAGGCCAGGCUAGACCCUGGUUCCUGAGCUGCCUGUACUCCAAGUCCCCUCCUAUGCUUCAGGUCAGACAUAGUGGGGCUUUGAAAUCCCUACAGAAGCCCGUCUCCAGCACCUUUCCAGGACUAGCCCCCAGCAGGUACUCAGAAGAGGGCCCUUUGAACUACUCUAUCAGGUCACACCUCUGGGUCCCAGGUUAAAGGAGGAUGGAUAGGCAGGCUAGGGUCUGCCACUCACACCGACACUGCACAAAAAAGGGAAACCCAGGAGAGAAUAAAUACACAUCUAGGUCUAGCCUCAGCUGGCUGGCCCUUUGGAAGAUGUUGGGGAGUUACUGCUCCUGCCAGAUUCCCGCUGGACUGUAUUGGAGCAUGUGCCCCUAUGGUCCAAAGUAGGACAUAUUCCUGUCCUGGGCUCACAGGCCUCCAGUCCCAAGCAGUGGACCACCCUUUCAGACCCACUGAUUUCACGCUAUGGAUUACGAAACCUGUUUGAGUAGUUCUAUUCUGAUUCAGCUCAUAUGCCAGAAAAAACUCUACCUCCUCCAGGAAGCUUCCCCUGAUUUUCAAGGUAGAAUCCUUCCAUCUGUCCGUCCCUGACUCUGUCUGUCUCCUGAGCAGUGCUCUCAAUUAAGGCAGAGCUCUUUGGGACACAGAGGAACUCUGCCCUAGUGGCCUCUCUGAGGGCACAGAGGGACAAGUGCCUGGCCAUUCCACCUGAGGCAGUGACACAGGUGGGUAGCACCCACUCCAAAGGUUCCUCAAGGCUUAGUGUCUACCUGUCUCUGACAGAGUUCAGAUCUGAAUUCCCCUCUCAGCCUCCACUUCCAGAAAGCCCCAAAUGGGGCAGUCAUCAAUCCAUGACAACUGACCUGCUGUAGCAAAAGGGCUGACUUCUGUUUGCAAGAAGGGUGGAGGGCUAUUUGGCCUCAGGGGCAUUCUAUCAUUCCCCUUGUUCAUUUUGCAAAGGAUGCGUGCUCUAUGCUGCUGGCAUUGCUUCGGGCAGAGGCAGGAAGCAUCCUCCAGGAGGCCUGGUGAUAGUGGAUACUGGCCCUGCCUCUUCUGAGGUGCAGCCUCUUCUGUCUCUCAGCUUAUGGUUCCAGACCCAAGGUAGCCAUGGGACACACAGAAACUUGUGAGCACUGUGGGCUGAAGGAGUAGCAAGGAACACUUGGAGAAGGGUGAGGGUGGGCUUCAGAAAGACAAGAUCCACACAGGACCCAGGGAAUAAGGACUGACUGAAACAGCAUUGCCUGUGCCCGUGUGGGUGGGAUGCAGACCCUGGGAGGUAUGGGAAGGAAGUCCUGUGGCCGGAGGGUAGAGGCUCAGGGGGACAGAGCUGAGAAGCUGGCCAGGCUGAUUCUUCAGGGCAAGCAGCAUCUGGCUCACCAUGUAGGUAACCACAAGAUCAUUAGGUUGGAAGAGACAGUGGCAGGAAAGACACUGUCCUCUGUGCCUAGGCCAGAGACGAUGCAGGCAGAAGACACGGGAAAAGAGAAGAGGCGAAACGUACAGUGACUGCGAGUGAACCAAUCACAGGGGCUCCUGGGUGGGGAAUCCUGCACUGAGUCAGGAGGCCGGAAGCUGGGCUUGAGGAAGAGCGUGUGCCCAGAACACAGGGAGCACAUUCAGGAUGUGGCGGCCUCUGCAGAGCAGGGGGGUCUUCUGGUACAACUGGACCGUGACUCCCAUCACCUGGCAUGCCUAGUGGGGGUCAUGUGUAGUCCCAGGAAGAAUUCUGUUCCUUCUACAGACUAACACGAGAGUGGAAGAAGAGCAGACAAGCCUGGUGGUGCACCCCUGUCACACCAGCACUUGGGAAGCUGGCUGAGGAGAAUUGCUGGAGCGGGGUCCUGUCAGUCAAAAGGCAGACAACCAGAGCCCCAAACCUGUCUAAAGCAGCAGGAAGGAUUUUCCGCACCGCCGGAGGGAAAGACAUCCAUCUCUUUCUGACAAGUCCUCCAGGAAGUGCCAACAAUGUACCAGGUGCUGCCCAGAGCCCAGAACUCCUCAGGGUGGGGUGCUCAGGUUUGGGAAGGCCUGGGGAGAAAUUUGGCUCCAGAAAAUUCCCUGACUCAUACAAAAAGCCAAGUAGAUACUAUCAGAGUCUGCCUGCUGGGCCUGCCCCAGCCUCUCACAGUGGCGGCGGCGGUGACACGGAGGACCCGGAGGACAGGAUGGGUCUUGAGAGGAAAGAGAUUGGCCAUGAUCUCCGGAUCCCACUCAGUCCAUGCCGUAGGGCACCCGUUACCAAAGUGUGGGUCACGCUCCACAGCAUCCAGGGGUCAUCUCAUUCUACAUGUUGUUUCCCUAUGUUGAACAUCACUGUUUCUGUCCAUGACCCCCAGUCAGGAGCCACACUGAAGCUAUCCGAGCUUCUCAACAGGAUCGGGACUUCCUGCUUGUUGGGCUGGAUCACCUCUGCCGAGCCCUCCUCAGGAAUGUGCCUCUGUCUAGGAAUGCACCACCCUCCAGGAUCUUGGGUCUAUUCAUCUGCACAGGUCUGGCCUACCUCAGCAGGACAUUCUUUUUUGGUUCUUUGUUUUCUAGCAAGGCUGACAUGGCUAACUCUGGCUCCUCAGUGAGGUUUUCCCUGACCACCAAAAUGGAAGUCGCCCACUGGUCACUGUUUCUAGCUGCCAGCAGCCCCCUCUCCAGUUCCCACCAGAUAUCUCCCCAGUUCCUAUCAGGCAACUGCUCCAGUUCCUAUCAAUCCACGCUCCCCAGUUCCUACAAGUCACCCCCACACACACAGUCAACCCCCCCAAGUUCCUAUGAGUCAACCCCCCAGUUCCCAUCAGUCAACCCCCAGUUCCUAUCACUCAACCCCCUAGUUCCCAUCGGUCCCUGCUUAGUUCCCACAGCCACUCCCACCAGUCAGUACUCCCAGUUCCCACCAGCUACUUCUCCUAGUUCCCACUAGUCACUCCUCCCAGUUCACACCAACCAUUGGUAAGGAUCAGCUGGUGACUUGAUCCAGUCGCAACCAAUCAGAGUAAGUCUUGGGAAUUGGGUGUGAACUGAAAAUAUGUUGGUUGUUUCUCACUAGAGAUGAACAAAAGGGAAAGUGAAGCCCACAGCUGUGGACAGACAUCUGGCCAGCUCGGGAAGCUGAAUCUGGUACCAACUAAGAGAGCAAGAUGGGAAGUAGGGAUGCAUGUAGCUGGGAAUAGUGUUUGUGCCCAGGAUCAAGCUGGACCUGGAUUCACUGUCAGAGGACCCUUCAGUCCCAGGAAUCAGCAAGUUCUCUGUCCUUGAGCCAGCUGGAGGUGUGUUAAUACAGUGUGUGUGUGUGUG
This is an RNA transcript of Alexandromys fortis (reed vole), 4069 nucleotides long. RefSeq lists it as uncharacterized. The transcript has 3 exons. The record is from RefSeq and is a predicted model, not a curated record. NCBI's taxonomy places the organism in Eukaryota, Metazoa, Chordata, Mammalia, Rodentia, Cricetidae.